RNAcentral lists this ribosomal RNA (1519 nucleotides) under Escherichia coli KTE59. RNAcentral describes it as "bacterial LSU rRNA". It matches the Rfam family "Bacterial large subunit ribosomal RNA", at positions 1428 to 2925 of the family's 2925-position model. Lineage: Bacteria; Pseudomonadati; Pseudomonadota; Gammaproteobacteria; Enterobacterales; Enterobacteriaceae. The record is from RNAcentral.
GGUUAAUAUUCCUGUACUUGGUGUUACUGCGAAGGGGGGACGGAGAAGGCUAUGUUGGCCGGGCGACGGUUGUCCCGGUUUAAGCGUGUAGGCUGGUUUUCCAGGCAAAUCCGGAAAACCAAGGCUGAGGCGUGAUGACGAGGCACUACGGUGCUGAAGCGACAAAUGCCCUGCUUCCAGGAAAAGCCUCUAAGCAUCAGGUAACAUCAAAUCGUACCCCAAACCGACACAGGUGGUCAGGUAGAGAAUACCAAGGCGCUUGAGAGAACUCGGGUGAAGGAACUAGGCAAAAUGGUGCCGUAACUUCGGGAGAAGGCACGCUGAUAUGUAGGUGAAGCGACUUGCUCGUGGAGCUGAAAUCAGUCGAAGAUACCAGCUGGCUGCAACUGUUUAUUAAAAACACAGCACUGUGCAAACACGAAAGUGGACGUAUACGGUGUGACGCCUGCCCGGUGCCGGAAGGUUAAUUGAUGGGGUUAGCGGUAACGCGAAGCUCUUGAUCGAAGCCCCGGUAAACGGCGGCCGUAACUAUAACGGUCCUAAGGUAGCGAAAUUCCUUGUCGGGUAAGUUCCGACCUGCACGAAUGGCGUAAUGAUGGCCAGGCUGUCUCCACCCGAGACUCAGUGAAAUUGAACUCGCUGUGAAGAUGCAGUGUACCCGCGGCAAGACGGAAAGACCCCGUGAACCUUUACUAUAGCUUGACACUGAACAUUGAGCCUUGAUGUGUAGGAUAGGUGGGAGGCUUUGAAGUGUGGACGCCAGUCUGCAUGGAGCCGACCUUGAAAUACCACCCUUUAAUGUUUGAUGUUCUAACGUUGGCCCGUAAUCCGGGUUGCGGACAGUGUCUGGUGGGUAGUUUGACUGGGGCGGUCUCCUCCUAAAGAGUAACGGAGGAGCACGAAGGUUGGCUAAUCCUGGUCGGACAUCAGGAGGUUAGUGCAAUGGCAUAAGCCAGCUUGACUGCGAGCGUGACGGCGCGAGCAGGUGCGAAAGCAGGUCAUAGUGAUCCGGUGGUUCUGAAUGGAAGGGCCAUCGCUCAACGGAUAAAAGGUACUCCGGGGAUAACAGGCUGAUACCGCCCAAGAGUUCAUAUCGACGGCGGUGUUUGGCACCUCGAUGUCGGCUCAUCACAUCCUGGGGCUGAAGUAGGUCCCAAGGGUAUGGCUGUUCGCCAUUUAAAGUGGUACGCGAGCUGGGUUUAGAACGUCGUGAGACAGUUCGGUCCCUAUCUGCCGUGGGCGCUGGAGAACUGAGGGGGGCUGCUCCUAGUACGAGAGGACCGGAGUGGACGCAUCACUGGUGUUCGGGUUGUCAUGCCAAUGGCACUGCCCGGUAGCUAAAUGCGGAAGAGAUAAGUGCUGAAAGCAUCUAAGCACGAAACUUGCCCCGAGAUGAGUUCUCCCUGAGACUUAGAGUCUCCUGAAGGAACGUUGAAGACGACGACGUUGAUAGGCCGGGUGUGUAAGCGCAGCGAUGCGUUGAGCUAACCGGUACUAAUGAACCGUGAGGCUUAACCUU